Molecule: ribosomal RNA, 252 nt
Filed under: uncultured bacterium
Lineage: Bacteria
Description: partial 16S ribosomal RNA
Rfam family: Bacterial small subunit ribosomal RNA
Source: RNAcentral
UACGUAAGGUCCGAGCGUUGUCCGGAAUCAUUGGGCGUAAAGGGUACGUAGGCGGAUAAGCAAGUUAGAAGUGAAAUCCUAUAGCUCAACUAUAGUAAGCUUUUAAAACUGCUCAUCUUGAGGUAUGGAAGGGAAAGUGGAAUUCCUAGUGUAGCGGUGAAAUGCGCAGAUAUUAGGAGGAAUACCGGUGGCGAAGGCGACUUUCUGGGCUCAUUCUGACGCUGAUGCACGAAGGUGUGGGUAUCAAACAGG